GGUCGCGGGUUGCGAACCCUGCAACUUUCCCCUCGGCGCAAAGCGGGGACGCGCCGAGUGUAGGGGGCCGCCGCUCAGCGCGGCUUAGGGGCCGCCCCCCAUCGCUGUGAAGCGGGAUGAGAGAAGAUGGCGCCCCCCACUGUUGCCAAGGCGUGAAUUUUUUUUUAGUUUUUUUGCGGGAAGCCCUGCGCCCGUAAAUCCCCAGCGCCUGGAGUCCUGUUACUAUGGUCCCGCUGGCACACAUCCAGAAAGUUUUGGGUAAUAAUGACAACUUUGCCAUGGGAACUUAAUUCACAAUACUUUUAGUCAAUGGAUUGAGAAAGGACAGAUAGAAAUCAAACCAGGGUCUCAUACGCUCAAGAGAUACUCCAAUAGACUAGAUGGCACCUACCGACCCAUUGGGGGAAAUCAAAUUAAAACAUUAUUUCAGAAAGAGUUGGCUUUUCUAGUUAACUUCUUGAGAAGGCUCACACACCUAAUGGAUUAUAUUGAGCAUAUAUUCAGAGAGGCGCUAACUAUCUGGAAAACUAUCAAAUCACAGGACUUGGCUGGUUCUGAGGACAUCGAUGAUUAUCAAAUCCAAACAAGGCCUCAGGGUAGCUUCCCCAAAUCCUCCUUUAUUGGAACAAAUGGUGGCUGAUUCAAAGACUGUACUUCAGCUGUCUUUCAUCAUCCAAAUGAGAUAAGAUGCCAGCAAGAUGUAUUCAAGAAAUUAAGAUUCAAGCUGUGGUAUCCCAUAUGAAGAGAUCUACAUUUCUGCUUAAUCGGUUAACUUGAAAUUGGGGCUCUGAUGCUAUUGAAGAGUUUUCACAUGCUUCCUUUUGUUGCAGUGUGUGUCACUUUUUAGAGUCUAGGAACAUAAUAUCAU
Mauremys reevesii (Reeves's turtle) is the source of this 868-nucleotide long non-coding RNA. RefSeq lists it as uncharacterized. The record is from RefSeq and is a predicted model, not a curated record. Lineage: Eukaryota; Metazoa; Chordata; Testudines; Geoemydidae. The transcript is spliced from 4 exons.